RNAcentral lists this ribosomal RNA (830 nucleotides) under Parahelicomyces quercus. Its description in RNAcentral is "Pseudohelicomyces quercus partial large subunit ribosomal RNA". It matches the Rfam family "Eukaryotic large subunit ribosomal RNA", at positions 77 to 928 of the family's 3401-position model. Lineage: Eukaryota; Fungi; Ascomycota; Dothideomycetes; Tubeufiales; Tubeufiaceae. The record is from RNAcentral.
GCCUCAGUAACGGCGAGUGAAGCGGCAAUAGCUCAAAUUUGAAAUCUGGCUCUUUCAGAGUCCGAGUUGUAAUUUGUAGAGGAUGCUUCGGCUUACGUUUCGGUCUAAGUUCCUUGGAACAGGACGUCACAGAGGGUGAGAAUCCCGUUUGUGGCCGAGACUUCCGCCAUGUGAAGCUCCUUCGACGAGUCGAGUUGUUUGGGAAUGCAGCUCUAAAUGGGAGGUAUAUUUCUUCUAAAGCUAAAUACCGGCCAGAGACCGAUAGCGCACAAGUAGAGUGAUCGAAAGAUGAAAAGCACUUUGGAAAGAGAGUUAAAAAGUACGUGAAAUUGUUGAAAGGGAAGCGCUUGCGACCAGACUUGCCCGCGGAUGCUCAACCGGACCUUCGGCCGGUGCACUCUUCCGCGGUCAGGCCAGCAUCAGUUCGAGCGGUCGGAUAAAGGCCUUGGGAAUGUGGCUCUCUUCGGGGAGUGUUAUAGCCCUUGGUGUAAUACGGCCCGCCUGGACUGAGGCCCGCGCUUCGGCUAGGAUGCUGGCGUAAUGGUCGUAAGCGGCCCGUCUUGAAACACGGACCAAGGAGUCUAACAUCUAUGCGAGUGUUUGGGUGUCAAACCCGUGCGCGAAAUGAAAGUGAACGGAGGUGGGAACCUUAGGGUGCACCAUCGACCGAUCCUGAUGUCUUCGGAUGGAUUUGAGUAAGAGCAUAGCUGUUGGGACCCGAAAGAUGGUGAACUAUGCCUGAAUAGGGUGAAGCCAGAGGAAACUCUGGUGGAGGCUCGCAGCGGUUCUGACGUGCAAAUCGAUCGUCAAAUUUGGGUAUAGGGGCGAAA